CCUACGGGUGGCAGCAGUGGGGAAUAUUGGGCAAUGGGCGCAAGCCUGACCCAGCAACGCCGCGUGAAGGAAGAAGGCUUUCGGGUUGUAAACUUCUGUUGUCAGGGACGAAGCAAGUGACGGUACCUUACGAAUAAGUCACGACUAACUACGUGCCAGCAGCCGCGGUAAUACGUAGGUGGCAAGCGUUAUCCGGAUUUACUGGGUGUAAAGGGCGUGUAGGCGGGGUAGCAAGUCAGAUGUGAAAACCACGGGCUCAACCUGUGGCCUGCAUUUGAAACUGUUUUCCUUUAGUACUGGAGAGGCGAGCGGAAUUCCGAGUGUAGCGGUGAAAUGCGUAGAUAUAAGGAGGAACACCAGUGGCGAAGGCGGAUUGCUGGACAGUAACUGACGCUGAGGCGCGAAAGUGUGGGGAGCAAACAGGAUUAGAUACCCGGGUAGUC
This 443-nucleotide ribosomal RNA is filed under the name uncultured bacterium. RNAcentral describes it as "partial 16S ribosomal RNA". It matches the Rfam family "Bacterial small subunit ribosomal RNA", at positions 338 to 795 of the family's 1533-position model. The record is from RNAcentral.